RNAcentral lists this ribosomal RNA (253 nucleotides) under uncultured bacterium. RNAcentral describes it as "partial 16S ribosomal RNA". It matches the Rfam family "Bacterial small subunit ribosomal RNA", at positions 524 to 776 of the family's 1533-position model. The record is from RNAcentral.
UACGUAGGUGGCAAGCGUUGUCCGGAUUUAUUGGGUUGAAAGGGUGCGUAGGCGGUCUAUUAAGUCAGUGGUGAAAUAUCGCAGCUCAACUGUGAGGGUGCCAUUGAUACUGAUGGACUUGAGUGAAGUCGAAGUAGGCGGAAUUGACGGUGUAGCGGUGAAAUGCUUAGAUAUCGUCAAGAACACCGAUAGUGAAGACAGCUUACUAGGCUUAUACUGACGCUGAGGCACGAAAGUGUGGGGGUCAAACAGG